Molecule: long non-coding RNA, 833 nt
Organism: Rhagoletis pomonella (apple maggot)
Lineage: Eukaryota; Metazoa; Arthropoda; Insecta; Diptera; Tephritidae
Exons: 3
Source: RefSeq, a predicted model, not a curated record
UUUUUGCUAAAAAUUACAUGUGUAGGAAAAAGUUUAGCUAUAGUAAAAACGAGCCUUAAAAACAUAGGUUGGGGAACGCUGCUAAGAAUGAUGUGAAAUGAUAUGCACUGAAGUUUUUAACCAAAACCGACUUUAUGUCGUUUACACACUAGGAGUAUUACAUCCACUCGUAUACCUGGCAAUAAAGUUGCUUGACUGUGAUCCAAUGCUGAACUAUGGAGACUAAAAAACAAAUCGACAAAUAUAUUUACAUAUGUACAUACAUGUAAGUACAUACAUAUAUCUGUUGGGGAAUUCGCUGGCAGUGCAAAUACAAUAAGAAUAAGUGAUUUGACGAAAUAUUCUAUCCGUAUUGAGGUUAUUGCAUGGGAAAGGAUGUAGAUGCUCAUUAAGCAAACUAGCGGGUACAGUAGGAUGUCGAUCAAUGAAACCCGAAAUUAAAAGGUACAUAUUUUAAAAGUCCAAAAUAAGGAUAUCCAUGUGUGCAGAAAACGACGACAAUACACAUAUAACGAUAAUGGCAAACUUAAAUAUAACAACAUAUAAAUAAAAUAAACAAAUAAUAAAAUUUUCAUCAUUGUGUAAAAGAAGAAUUGUCGAAAGCGAUGGAACUAAUUCCAUCUUCAGCUUAUCGAUAUUUCAUAUGCGGGAUUCUAGGUACUAGCGUAGUGUUCUAAAUAAAUUUAGACCUUAAAAAUAUUUUAUGAAAAUGUCUGCUCAAAAUAAAUUAUUGAACUAUCUGUUGGCCAACUGACCACAAAUCUGUGCCAAGCGAACGGCGUAUAAAUUUCGUUUUGUAAACUACUAUAUGGACAAUUUAGUGCUGUUUUCCC